UUUAAUCUAAUAUGUGUCAUAUAAUUUAUCAUCCUCUUAAUCAUCUAACAACUCAUCAUCAUAGUAAUCGUAUCAAGUUAAAGUAUCAUAAAAUAGAAAAACAUCAUAAUCAUCAUCAUCUUAAUCGAUGGUGCCAGGUUAAUAUGUGUCAUAUAGACGAGAAAACUUCUCUCUCGUAGGACAUAGUCCUCUCUCCUAGGUAAAAUAUCAUAAAACAGAAAAACAUCUAAGUCUCCCUAAUGAAGCAAAGAGAUUCAACGGUCUUCAAGUUGUGGCUUGCGAUCCUUCUUUUUUCUCUUCGUGCUUCAAUUUGGAGUUUUUCUUGUGGUUGCGCUGAGUCGAGUAUUGAAAAACGAAAGGAAUGCACAUACGUCUUGUAAUUUCUUUCUCACCUCCGCAAUGCAUCAAUAGAGGCACAACAUCAUUUGGCAAUUUCUAUUGAAGAACAUAAUAGUAGCCUAGUUAUCAAUGUAAUUCAUAUAAUAGUAGCAUAAUUAGCCAUGUAAUUUACGUAAUAGUAGUGUAGUUAGUAACUCUUACCAAGAUAUUUGCGUGAAUGUCGUCAUCCCUCAACCUAUGCAUUAGUGACAUGUAUAAUGUAUAAUUUAGGCCAACUCCAUAGUGCAUGUCGGCCCUAGUAUACAGGACACCCUUAACAAAGGUGACAAGAGAAUCCUUCUCCUUCCAAGUUAUAUGUGAUCC
Molecule: long non-coding RNA, 702 nt
Filed under: Hordeum vulgare
Lineage: Eukaryota; Viridiplantae; Streptophyta; Magnoliopsida; Poales; Poaceae
Description: long non-coding RNA (HVUL_LNC001544)
Source: RNAcentral